ACGCUGCUUUCCGGUGUUUGAAACCAUAAAGAGGCGACCGCAUUGUACUCUCCUUCCGCGCAAUACAUUUGAACUGGAAACUUGGUGGGAUCAUUACCUAAUGGUUUACAGUCAUUAACAAAGUAUAUCAUCAAGGAUCCCACUGUUGCGCUUAAUAUCGCCACAAGGACAGCCUCGAUCACUUUCCUCCACUUUUGUGUCACAAAUCGCAAACGAAAACAGAUUCAGCAAGCCAGGGUAUGAAAGAUCUCCAGGGUGUCCAUGGUACGCGCUCAAAAUCACAUUCAAAGUGAACGUAGUGAUCAUGCUGGCGAAGAAUGUUCUCCAUGUGAGGCUUUGAUUGAAAAAGCUAGUACCCUCUUCUAUACUGAACAAAACCCCACCUAAAGAAAUGCAAGUUACUUGAUUUAUUACUAAACUUUGCAACACAAAGGUAUUUCUUAUGUAUAAUAUUAAUAUAAUGUAUACGUCGUAAUAUACAAAUUUAUAGUUAAAAAAAAAUUAAAACAGUAAUGCGCGAGAAA
This is a long non-coding RNA of Solenopsis invicta (red fire ant), 524 nucleotides long. RefSeq lists it as uncharacterized. Lineage: Eukaryota; Metazoa; Arthropoda; Insecta; Hymenoptera; Formicidae. The record is from RefSeq and is a predicted model, not a curated record. The transcript has 2 exons.